This is a long non-coding RNA of Erythranthe guttata (spotted monkey flower), 1339 nucleotides long. RefSeq lists it as uncharacterized. Lineage: Eukaryota; Viridiplantae; Streptophyta; Magnoliopsida; Lamiales; Phrymaceae. The record is from RefSeq and is a predicted model, not a curated record.
CAUGCUCUACUUUAUUUGUACCUAAAAUUUGUUAUUCUGUUUUACAAAGCAUUUAUUGGUACAUCACACAAAGAUGGGUCUCUUGUAAUAUUUUAUUUCUUUUGUUUGUUACCUAUAAAUAUGUCUAACAGAUGCAAGCCAAAACACCAAACAUAUUUUAUUUCAGUUAUGAUAGAGCCAUUCUAUAUAAUUUUGCUCACUUCAAUUGCAGUUGGUGAUGGUGUGCUGACAUCUGUAUUUCAGGUCCGGUGGUAGUCUUUCACUACACCAUAAAAUGGAUUUUCUAACACAUAUAUCCGUUAGAAAUAUUUUUUACAACAGCGAAAAAGCAUUAGAAAUAGUGCGUGAGAAAUUCUGAGCCUUUCAUUUCUAACGGAUAUAUCCGUUAGACAAAUAAAGCAUACCGUUAGUAUAAUAAUAUUUGCUAACGGAUAUAUCCGUUAGCAAUACUUUCGUAACGAAUAGUUUUGUAACACUCUAUCUAAUUGUAACGGAUAUGCCCGUUAGACCCAUAAAACAAACCUCAUUCUUCUUGGUAGAACAUAGUAGUUAUUGUUUAAUACGUUGCCACAAUUAGAGCAAUUGGACUUAUAUACCUGAGUUCUAUGUUUAUGAAGUUCCGUGAAGUAUGAUACAUGAUACUAAUGUUUGCAGCGAUUGUGGUAUUAAUUAUGUUUGUGUGGACCAUUGUGAAAAGGUGGAUGUACGAGAAACUCCGUAAGAAAACAUGUCGAUCUUAACCAAAUAGCCAAAGAUAUCCAAAGAGCCCCAGGUUUGGUAGUACUCCACUGUCGUAUAAAUGGAACACUACCAACCCUGGGGCCCUUUGGAUAUCUUUGGCUAUUUGGUUAAGGUCGACAUGUUUCUUAUGGAGCUUCUCGUACAUCCACCGUUGCACAGUGGUCCACACAAACAUAAUUGUUACCACAGUCGCUGCAAACAUUAGUGUCGUGUACCCUUCUUCACGGAACUUCAUAAGCACAGAACUCAGGUAUAUAAGUUCAAUUGCUCCAAUUGUGGUAACGUACAAAACAAUAACUACUACUAUGUUCCAUUUUCAGACCAGUUACACGAUAAUAACCAAGAAGAACGAUGUAAGUGAUAAGGCAACAAUUAUCUAUCCACCAAAUAAGCCUGCAAAUCACUCAUCAUCAAUCAAGCUUAAUCACAUCUCCAAGAAUCAGCAAGUGCAGCCCUGAAAUCAUAUUGUAAUUAUAUAUAAUAUUCUCUAUUAAGUUUCUAGCUUUAAUCUUGUAAUAGUGAUUGUAACUCUAAGUUGCUAGAUUGUAUAUAUAGGUGCAUAACUAAUACAAUUCAUGAUCACAUUCUAAAGUCUCUU